CCUACGGGAGGCAGCAGUGGGGAAUUUUGGACAAUGGGGGCAACCCUGAUCCAGCCAUGCCGCGUGUCUGAAGAAGGCCUUCGGGUUGUAAAGGACUUUUGUUAGGGAGCAAGUCCUGCAGGUUAAGAGCUAGUAGGGAUGAGAGUACCUAAAGAAUAAGCACCGGCUAACUACGUGCCAGCAGCCGCGGUAAUACGUAGGGUGCAAGCGUUAAUCGGAAUUACUGGGCGUAAAGGGUGCGCAGGCGGUAUUGUAAGCCAGAUGUGAAAUCCCCGGGCUCAACCUGGGAACUGCGUUUGGAACUGCAAUGCUAGAGUGUGUCAGAGGGGGGUGGAAUUCCACGUGUAGCAGUGAAAUGCGUAGAGAUGUGGAGGAACACCGAUGGCGAAGGCAGCCCCCUGGGAUAACACUGACGCUCAGGCACGAAAGCGUGGGGAGCAAACAGGAUUAGAUACCCUGGUAGUCCACGCCCUAAACGAUGACAACUAGCCGUUGGGAACUUCGGUUCUUGGUGGCGUAGCUAACGCGAGAAGUUGUCCGCCUGGGGAGUACGGUCGCAAGAUUAAAACUCAAAGGAAUUGACGG
RNAcentral lists this ribosomal RNA (585 nucleotides) under uncultured beta proteobacterium. RNAcentral's name for it is "bacterial SSU rRNA". It matches the Rfam family "Bacterial small subunit ribosomal RNA", at positions 338 to 916 of the family's 1533-position model. Lineage: Bacteria; Pseudomonadati; Pseudomonadota; Betaproteobacteria. The record is from RNAcentral.